RNAcentral lists this ribosomal RNA (496 nucleotides) under uncultured bacterium. RNAcentral's name for it is "partial 16S ribosomal RNA". It matches the Rfam family "Bacterial small subunit ribosomal RNA", at positions 28 to 506 of the family's 1533-position model. The record is from RNAcentral.
GAUGAACGCUGGCGGCGUGCCUAAUACAUGCAAGUCGAGCGAACGGACGAGAAGCUUGCUUCUCUGAUGUUAGCGGCGGACGGGUGAGUAACACGUGGAUAACCUACCUAUAAGACUGGGAUAACUUCGGGAAACCGGAGCUAAUACCGGAUAAUAUUUUGAACCGCAUGGUUCAAAAGUGAAAGACGGUCUUGCUGUCACUUAUAGAUGGAUCCGCGCUGCAUUAGCUAGUUGGUAAGGUAACGGCUUACCAAGGCAACGAUGCAUAGCCGACCUGAGAGGGGAGUCGGCCCCCCGGAACUUAGAACCCGGUCCAACACCCUCGGGGGGGCCGCGGGGGGGAUCUUCCCGGAAGGGGCGAAAGCUGACCGGGCCAACCCCGGGGGGGGGAUGAAGUCCUUCGAUUCGUAAAACCUUUUUUUGGGGGAAAAAAAAUUUUGAAAGUAACUGGGCCCAUUUUGACGGUCCCUAAUCAAAAAGCCCCGGCUAACUGCUU